UACAGAGGGUGCAAGCGUUGUUCGGAAUUACUGGGCGUAAAGCGCGCGCAGGCGGGAUGGCAAGUCGGAUGUGAAAGCCCUCGGCUCAACCGGGGGAAGUGCAUUCGAAACUGCUGUUCUUGAGUGUCGGAGAGGGUGGUGGAAUUCCCGGUGUAGAGGUGAAAUUCGUAGAUAUUCGGAAGAACACCAGUGGCGAAGGCGACAUACUGGCUCAUUACUGACGCUGAGGCUCGAAAGCGUGGGGAGCAAACAGG
RNAcentral lists this ribosomal RNA (254 nucleotides) under uncultured bacterium. RNAcentral's name for it is "partial 16S ribosomal RNA". It matches the Rfam family "Bacterial small subunit ribosomal RNA", at positions 524 to 776 of the family's 1533-position model. The record is from RNAcentral.